UACGUAGGGGGCAAGCGUUAUCCGGAUUUACUGGGUGUAAAGGGAGCGCAGACGGAACUGCAAGUCUGAUGUGAAAGCCCGGGGCUCAACCGCGGGACUGCAUCGGAUACUGUGGAUCUGGAGUGCCGGAGGGGCAAGCGGAAUUCCUGGUGUAGCGGUGAAAUGCGUAGAUAUAUGGAGGAACACCAGUGGCGAAGGCGACUUUCUGGUCUAUUAUUGACGCUGAGGCUCGAAAGCAUGGGUAGCAAACAGGAUUAGA
RNAcentral lists this ribosomal RNA (259 nucleotides) under uncultured prokaryote. Its description in RNAcentral is "partial 16S ribosomal RNA". It matches the Rfam family "Bacterial small subunit ribosomal RNA", at positions 524 to 782 of the family's 1533-position model. The record is from RNAcentral.